RNAcentral lists this ribosomal RNA (494 nucleotides) under uncultured bacterium. RNAcentral describes it as "partial 16S ribosomal RNA". It matches the Rfam family "Bacterial small subunit ribosomal RNA", at positions 28 to 507 of the family's 1533-position model. The record is from RNAcentral.
GACGAACGCUGGCGGCGUGCUUAACACAUGCAAGUCGAACGGUGAAGCGCCUUCCUUUUUGGUGGGUGUGGAUGAGUGGCGAACGGGUGAGUAACACGUGAGUAACCUGCCCCCUCCUGCUGGAUAACCGCAGGAAAGUGUGGCUAACACGGGAUAUUCUGGGUCUGUCGCAUGAUGGGUCUGGGAAAGAUAUUGUUUCGGUGGGGGAUGGGCUCGCGGCCUAUCAGCUUGUUGGUGGGGUGAUGGCCUACCAAGGCGGUGACGAGUAGCCGGCCUGAGAGGGUGGCCGGCCACGCUGGUGCUGAGCCCCGGCCACGCCUCCUGCGGGAGGCAGCAGUGAGGAUUACUGCACGCUGGGCGGACGCAUGAUGCAGCGACGCCGCGUGCGGGAUGGAGGCCUUCGGGUUGUGAACCUCUUUCGCCAGUGAAGCAGGCCUGCCUCGUUUGUGGGUGGGUUGACGGUAGCUGGAUAAGAAGCGCCGGCUAACUACGUG